GUAGGGAAUAUUGGGCAAUGGAUGGAAGUCUGACCCAGCCAUGCCGCGUGUGUGAAGAAGGUCUUCGGAUUGUAAAGCACUUUAAGUUGGGAGGAAGGGCAGUAAGUUAAUACCUUGCUGUUUUGACGUUACCGACAGAAUAAGCACCGGCUAACUUCGUGCCAGCAGCCGCGGUAAUACGAAGGGUGCAAGCGUUAAUCGGAAUUACUGGGCGUAAAGCGCGCGUAGGUGGUUUUGUAAGUUGGAGGUGAAAUCCCCGGGCUCAACCUGGGAACUGCCUCCAAAACUGCAUGACUAGAGUACGGUAGAGGGUAGUGGAAUUUCCUGUGUAGCGGUGAAAUGCGUAGAUAUAGGAAGGAACACCAGUGGCGAAGGCGACUACCUGGACUGAUACUGACACUGAGGUGCGAAAGCGUGGGGAGCAAACAGGAUUAGAUACCCCUGUAGUCC
Molecule: ribosomal RNA, 450 nt
Filed under: uncultured bacterium
Lineage: Bacteria
Description: bacterial SSU rRNA
Rfam family: Bacterial small subunit ribosomal RNA
Source: RNAcentral